AGAGGGUGCAAGCGUUAAUCGGAAUAAUUGGGCGUAAAGGGUGCGUAGGUGGUAAUUUAAGUCUUAUGUGAAAAGUCAAUGGGCUCAACCAUUGAAUGCCAUAAGAAACUGGGUUACUAGAGUACUGUAGAGGGUAGUGGAAUUUCUGGUGUAGCGGUGAAAUGCGUAGAUAUCAGAAGGAACAUCAGUGGCGAAGGCGACUACCUGGACAGAUACUGACACUGAGGCACGAAAGCGUGGGUAGCGAACAGGAUUAGAUACCCUGGUAGUCCACGCUGUAAACGAUGAGUAUUAGCUGUUAUUAUCGAGAGAUAUUAGUGGCGCAGCUAACGUGUUAAAUACUCCGCCUGGGGAGUACGGCCGCAAGGUUA
This 371-nucleotide ribosomal RNA is filed under the name uncultured organism. RNAcentral's name for it is "partial 16S ribosomal RNA". It matches the Rfam family "Bacterial small subunit ribosomal RNA", at positions 527 to 896 of the family's 1533-position model. The record is from RNAcentral.